UACGAAGGGAGCUAGCGUUGUUCGGAAUCACUGGGCGUAAAGCGCACGUAGGCGGAUUUGUCAGUCAGGGGUGAAAUCCCGGGGCUCAACUCCAGAACUGCCUUUGAUACUGAGGAUCUCGAGUCCGGGAGAGGUGAGUGGAACUCCGAGUGUAGAGGUGAAAUUCGUAGAUAUUCGGAAGAACACCAGUGGCGAAGGCGGCUCACUGGCCCGGUACUGACGCUGAGGUGCGAAAGCGUGGGGAGCAAACAGG
This 253-nucleotide ribosomal RNA is filed under the name uncultured bacterium. Its description in RNAcentral is "partial 16S ribosomal RNA". It matches the Rfam family "Bacterial small subunit ribosomal RNA", at positions 524 to 776 of the family's 1533-position model. The record is from RNAcentral.